Molecule: ribosomal RNA, 518 nt
Filed under: Oncomelania hupensis hupensis
Lineage: Eukaryota; Metazoa; Mollusca; Gastropoda; Littorinimorpha; Pomatiopsidae
Description: partial large subunit ribosomal RNA
Rfam family: Bacterial large subunit ribosomal RNA
Source: RNAcentral
AACAUGGCUCUUUGAGAUUUAUAUAUAAAGAGUCGGGCCUGCCCAGUGAUGUAUUUUUAACGGCCGCGGUACUCUGACCGUGCGAAGGUAGCAUAAUCAUUUGCCCUAUAAUUGAGGGCUAGUAUGAAUGGUUUGACAUGAGCAUAACUGUCUCCUUAAAAUUUUAUAAAAUUUGGUUUUUAGGUGAAGAAACCUAAAUUAAAUUGAAAGACAAGAAGACCCUAUCGAGCUUUAGAAUAAUUAGUUAAAAAAUAUAAAUAAAACAAUUAAUUUUGAUUAAAAACUUUGGUUGGGGCGACUGAGGAACAUAUAAAGCUUCCUUAAUUAAACAAUGCUGAUAAGCAGUGAUCCAGGAAAUCUGAUUAAAAAAAUUAGUUACCGUAGGGAUAACAGCAUAAUCUUUUUUGAGAGCUCUUAUCGAAAAAAAGGUUUGUGACCUCGAUGUUGGACUAGGAUAUCCUAAAGAUGUAGAAGUCUUUAAUGGUUGCUCUGUUCGAGCAUAAAAAUCCUACGUGAUC